This 385-nucleotide ribosomal RNA is filed under the name Triticum aestivum (bread wheat). Its description in RNAcentral is "partial small subunit ribosomal RNA". Lineage: Eukaryota; Viridiplantae; Streptophyta; Magnoliopsida; Poales; Poaceae. The record is from RNAcentral.
CGAACGAGAGAAGAGGGGAGGGACCAGGAGAGGCGGAGUGGGGGGAGGGGGAGCGGUCUAGGUAGGGGCGGCUCGCGGCUGUACCCGAGCGAGGCCACUUCGAGCGCUGGUGGCCGGUGAAGAGGGAGUGGCAACGCAGGUGCUGCUGGCGGUAGCGGGCGACGCAGGUGAUGCCUCUGCUUCUGGACGGCCUUGGGGGUGGAAGCGGCCUAAGCGCAGCGGGAGCAGGCGAAGCCAGUAGCUGGUAGAGGCAGUUGAGGCUGGCGGGGCGUCGAUGAUUAGGCAGUGGCCCGGGGGUACGCGGGUGUGCUGAUGCUCUGGCUGCGACGAUGACUGGUCAAGCUGAUGCCUCAACUGCUGGGGAGAGAGAACGGUCUCGUUGGUC